Molecule: ribosomal RNA, 161 nt
Filed under: uncultured bacterium
Lineage: Bacteria
Description: partial 16S ribosomal RNA
Rfam family: Bacterial small subunit ribosomal RNA
Source: RNAcentral
UGGGGAAUUUUGGACAAUGGGGGCAACCCUGAUCCAGCAAUGCCGCGUGAGUGAAGAAGGCCUUCGGGUUGUAAAGCUCUUUUGUCAGGGAAGAAACGGUGUUUCCUAAUACGGAAUGCUAAUGACGGUACCUGAAGAAUAAGCACCGGCUAACUACGUGC